UACGUGGGCGGUCUGUUAAGUCAGUGGUGAAAGUUUGCGGCUUAACCGUAAAAUUGCCAUUGAUACUGAUAGGCUUGAGUACAGUUGAGGUAGGCGGAAUGUGUAGUGUAGCGGUGAAAUGCUUAGAUAUUACACAGAACUCCGAUUGCGAAGGCAGCUUACUAAACUGAGACUGACGCUGAGGUACGAAAGCGUGGGUAGCGAACA
RNAcentral lists this ribosomal RNA (207 nucleotides) under uncultured bacterium. Its description in RNAcentral is "partial 16S ribosomal RNA". It matches the Rfam family "Bacterial small subunit ribosomal RNA", at positions 568 to 774 of the family's 1533-position model. The record is from RNAcentral.